Alligator mississippiensis (American alligator) is the source of this 2375-nucleotide RNA transcript. It is a transcript of the gene named anaphase promoting complex subunit 13, with no coding region annotated. The transcript is spliced from 4 exons. Lineage: Eukaryota; Metazoa; Chordata; Crocodylia; Alligatoridae. The record is from RefSeq and is a predicted model, not a curated record.
GCGGUGCUGCUGGAGGGCCCGGCUUCCUCUCUAUAGUUCGCGCGGCUCAGAGCGGCCAGUCACGUGAAGGCCUGCGGAGGAGCGAAGGGGUGUUGCGUGAUUGCGGGCUGGCUGCGCACUGAUGGACAGUGAGGUGCAGAGGGACGGGAGAAUCCUGGAUCUGAUUGACGAUGCCUGGAGGGAAGACAAGUUACCAUAUGAGGAUGUGGCAAUACCCCUGAAUGAGCUUCCUGAACCAGAGCAAGACAAUGGUGGCACAACGGAGUCAGUAAAAGAGCAAGAGAUGAAAUGGACGGAUUUGGCUCUGCAGUAUUUGCAUGAAAAUGUUCCUCCAACAGGAAACUAGUGAAUCAGUGCUAUUUCCAGGAGUGAUUUCAGUUCAAGAAGAUGAUUUUUCAGCAGCACUUCACUGUGCCCAAUCAAAUAAGGAAAUAAGACCUUUAAAAUGGUCUCAGUUUAAGCAACUUGUUGAAUUCCGCAAGAAACAAAAUACAGUUGGAAAAGCCCAUAAAUAUGAUGCAAUUAUGACAUGAGCUAAAACUGCCAGACAGGAUCUCACCCCACUUCGUGCACAGGAUGGACAGAGCUCAGGAGCAGAUUGGAGUUGUGUUAUUAGUGAAGUUCCGAAGAACAGUAUUACACUGUUAUCCUCCAUGUGGACCUCUACAGGGAUGAAGCACACACUUUGCCAUUGGUUUCCACAGCUUGUUGCUAACAGCAGCAGCAUGCCAAGAUUCGGGAAUUCUGGGUUUUAUUUCAUAUCUUGGAAAGUGCCCCCCGGCCCCCUUCAACCUCUGUCCCUGCACCUUCAUUCCAGUCCCAUCUCUACCUCAGCAAUUUGUCUAAGUCUCCCCUCUCCUCCUUGGGCCCUUGUUCAAAUCCCAGACCUUGGCCUCAAGAAAGUAUUAGUAGUAAGUCACUAUUUACAAAUGUUUUGAAUAUGGUAGAAGAGCUGUGGAACUGUGCCUUAAAUGUCACUGCAUACAUUCUCCACGGACCCCUAAAGAAGAAAGCUGUGAAAAAUGGAUCAAGAAAUAGGUAGUUUCUAGCUUCAGAGUAGCAGCCCAAAUAUGCUAAGAAUGCUUCAUUUUUUCCAAAGGGUAGUUGUAUUUGUUUGAAUAAGUUGUAUGGCACCUGUUCACUAUGAAAAAAGAUAGAACGUUCUUUCCUCCCUGAUCUCUGUCCCUCCACCUCUUUAGUCCUGAGCUGUCCAUUGCUACAGGUAAGUCUUCUUCUGAGGUUUUGGGUUUCAUUCCCACUGAACUGAAAAUAUUUUAAUAAGGUCUAGAAAUGUUGGUGAUAGAGAGGUGAGAGGUCUUGGAAUAAAAAUAUUUUAAACACUUAUCAUAAGCCAAGCCAUCAGUUGAAAUGCAUUUCUUUGAGCCUACAGUUCUCUGAUCCACUAGACCAAAGUUUUAGAGAUUGUUCUCCUCAGUUCCCAUUUUUAUGGAAUGAAAAAAAAUGUUGUCUAUCAGAUGGCCAUGUAAAAUCACUAAUCAGUGAACAUUUCCCUGUGAACUAUUUGGUUGCAUGUUAACUUGGAAAGACUAGGGGAGAUCCCAUGUUCCUUUGUCAGUUGUGUCUCUCUACUGUCCCCAGCAAAGUACUUAGAAAUUGACUUGGACUCAACCCAGCCCAGCUCUGCAUAAGCAGCACAACUCUCAUGCCCCACCCUUCCCUGCUUUCCCUUUCAUUCUCCACUUCCACUCGUCAUUUGUUACCAUUUUUGAUGACUCUCCAUAACAAGAGAUCAGAAAUUAUAAGCUUAAAAGGGGUGGACCAGUAUUUCAUAUCUUGGUGCUUCAGACUCGGGUCAGAAAGAAGCAGGAGUUUUGUAUUUGCAUCCAAGUCCCAAAACCUACCAUGCAGUUCACUAUAAUUCUUAAUGGUCCUCAUACAAUCUGACAUUUAUAGAACUGGGGGGUUUCCAAAGAGCCUUGAGAUCCAACCAAUAGACCUCUCUAUUGAUGCUUUGGUUUGAUGUUCUUUGUCCUACUCCUAUACCAGAGAGUCUCUUGGCCUUUUUCUUUCCCUGGCUUUGCACUUGCUGGUCACCUUGCUUGACAACAAAUCUGACAGAUGAAGCAUGAGAGAAAAUGGUUGCACCAUUUGUGGUGGAAAAUUGAUAAAUUGACGCUUACUGAUUGUAUCAGUUUUAAAAUCCUCAUUCUACAGUUUUGGGGGAAGAAAAGGCAAAGUUCUCCUGCCUGCAACUUUCUUCUGCAAAAGCUCAAACAGCAGGUUUGUUUCCGCUUAUACACGGCCUUCUUUAUUCUGGCUUUCUGCUCAGUAGGCCACUCAGUUGCUUCCUGAACAGUUGCUACUGAUUAGACUUUAUGGUUAAGAGGAGAUUAAAUCUGUUUUAACCACUGUUA